CCUACGGGAGGCAGCAGUGGGGAAUAUUGGACAAUGGGGGGAACCCUGAUCCAGCCAUGCCGCGUGUGUGAAGAAGGCCCUCGGGUUGUAAAGCACUUUCAGUGAGGAAGAACGCCUGGUGGUUAAUACCCAUCAGGAAAGACAUCACUCACAGAAGAGGCACCGGCUAACUCCGUGCCAGCAGCCGCGGUAAUACGGAGGGUGCGAGCGUUAAUCGGAAUUACUGGGCGUAAAGCGCGCGUAGGUGGCUUGAUAAGCCGGUUGUGAAAGCCCCGGGCUCAACCUGGGAACGGCAUCCGGAACUGUCAAGCUAGAGUGCAGGAGAGGAAGGUAGAAUUCCCGGUGUAGCGGUGAAAUGCGUAGAGAUCGGGAGGAAUACCAGUGGCGAAGGCGGCCUUCUGGACUGACACUGACACUGAGGUGCGAAAGCGUGGGUAGCAAACAGGAUUAGAUACCCUGGUAGUC
Molecule: ribosomal RNA, 465 nt
Filed under: Vreelandella stevensii
Lineage: Bacteria; Pseudomonadati; Pseudomonadota; Gammaproteobacteria; Oceanospirillales; Halomonadaceae
Description: partial 16S ribosomal RNA
Rfam family: Bacterial small subunit ribosomal RNA
Source: RNAcentral